RNAcentral lists this ribosomal RNA (450 nucleotides) under uncultured bacterium. RNAcentral describes it as "bacterial SSU rRNA". It matches the Rfam family "Bacterial small subunit ribosomal RNA", at positions 354 to 796 of the family's 1533-position model. The record is from RNAcentral.
GUCGAGAAUUUUUCACAAUGGGGGAAACCCUGAUGGAGCGACGCCGCGUGGGGGAUGAAUGGCUUCGGCCCGUAAACCCCUGUCAUGAGCGAUCAACCCUUUCCCGUGAACAUCGGGAGAGGUUGAUGGUAGUUCAAGAGGAAGGGACGGCUAACUCUGUGCCAGCAGCCGCGGUAAUACAGAGGUCCCAAGCGUUGUUCGGAUUCACUGGGCGUAAAGGGUGCGUAGGCGGUCGGGUAAGUCUGACGUGAAAUCCCGUGGCUCAACCAUGGAACGGCGUCGGAAACUAUCCGGCUUGAGGGUGCGAGGGGGGACUGGAAUUCUCGGUGUAGCAGUGAAAUGCGUAGAUAUCGAGAGGAACACCAGUGGCGAAGGCGAGUCCCUGGAGCACUCCUGACGCUGAGGCACGAAAGCUAGGGGAGCAAACAGGAUUAGAAACCCCGGUAGUCC